This 299-nucleotide ribosomal RNA is filed under the name uncultured bacterium. RNAcentral describes it as "partial 16S ribosomal RNA". It matches the Rfam family "Bacterial small subunit ribosomal RNA", at positions 775 to 1067 of the family's 1533-position model. The record is from RNAcentral.
GGAUUAGAUACCCUGGUAGUCCACGCCGUAAACGAUGGGCACUAAGCGUCCGACGGGUUCGACCCUGUUGGGUGCUGCAGUUAACGCGUUAAGUGCCCCGCCUGGGGAGUACGGUCGCAAGACUAAAACUCAAAGGAAUUGACAGGGGCCCGCACAAGCGGUGGAACAUGCGGUUUAAUUCGAUGCUACGCGAAAAACCUUACCAACCCUUGGCAUGCAAAUUUUGAAUUAUGGAGACAUAAUUCUUCAGUUCGGCUGGGUUUGCACAGGUGUUGCAUGGCUGUCGUCAGCUCGUGCUG